GCUUCCGUGGCGCAAUGGUAGCGCGUCAGACUUCUAUAUCAGGCAAUCUGAAGGUUGCGGGUUCGAGUCCCGCCGGAAGUG
Coccidioides immitis RS is the source of this 81-nucleotide transfer RNA. It matches the Rfam family "tRNA". From Rfam's summary of the family: Transfer RNA (tRNA) molecules are approximately 80 nucleotides in length. The record is from Rfam. NCBI's taxonomy places the organism in Eukaryota, Fungi, Ascomycota, Eurotiomycetes, Onygenales, Onygenaceae.